Populus nigra (black poplar) is the source of this 2842-nucleotide RNA transcript. It is a transcript of the gene named TORTIFOLIA1-like protein 3, with no coding region annotated. Lineage: Eukaryota; Viridiplantae; Streptophyta; Magnoliopsida; Malpighiales; Salicaceae. The transcript is spliced from 7 exons. The record is from RefSeq and is a predicted model, not a curated record.
UUUAUUCCUCUUAUACUUUUUAUCUUACUCUUUUAGACCCAUCUUGACCCUCCGCUGAAUUAGAAUUAAAACGACAUCGUUUUAAUCAGUUUUGCUCUCGUCAUCCCCCCCCUUUGCCGUAACCACCUAUCAGCAUAUGAUACUCGCUGACACAACUUCACCGCACCAGAAAAGAACACGCCCAACCGAACCGAACCACCAGCACUACUUCCACCGGCAAUGCUGCCACUAAUUCCACCGGCACCACCGCCUGACCACCCUUGAUCUCACCACCACAAACAGCAGAAGCUUAAAAAAGAAAAGAUGGCACAAAAGCUGAAGCUUAAAGUGCAAACGCUGAUAACAAAACUAUCAGACAGAGACACGUACACGAUAGCGUCAAGAGAAAUAGAAAGAAUCGCUGAGUCCCUCGAUAACACGACGAUUUCUACUUUCCUCUCUUGCAUCCUCUCCACCGACUCUACCGACAAGCCAUUAGUACGCAAACACUGCCUUCACCUUCUCUCGACACUCUCUCAUCUCUAUUCUAAUUCUCUCUCCAGUUCUCUACCUAAAAUCCUCUCUUACAUUACUCGCCGUCUCCGCGACCCCGACUCCUCCAUCAUCCGCUCACAAUGUUUGACAGCAAUGACCUCUCUCGCUUCCAAAAUCACCAAAGUGCCAUUCUCUACUGUAUUUUUGAAGCAGUUGAGUGAGUCGGUGUUCACGGAGCAGGAAUUGAAUGCGCAGAUUGGAUCCGCUUUGUGUCUGGCUGCGGCGAUCGAUGCGGCGCCGGAUCCAGAACCGGGGAGGUUGGGAAAAGUGUUGCUGCCGAGAUUGGAGAGGCUGGUGAAGAGCGAAGGGUAUAAAGCGAAGUUUGCAGGAUUGGUUGUUGUAGGGAGUGUGAUUGGUGUUGGUGGAGUGAGAGGGACUGGAGGAGGAACUGGAGGUUUGGUUAAGUGUUUGAUUGGGUUUUUGAGUACCGAGGAUUGGAAUUCGAGGAAAGCUGCGGCCGAGGCGUUGAGGAAGUUGGCUGUUGUGGAGAGAGAUGGUGUUGCUGAGUUCAAGAGUGAGUGCUUGAAAGUUUUCGAGAGUCGGAGAUUUGAUAAGGUGAAGGCUGCAAGGGAGGUGAUGAAUGAGGCAAUAGAGGCAUGGAAACAGGUUCCGGAUGUUUCGGAGGAGGAAUCCCCGCCUCCUCGAUCACUGGCUUCUUCCAGAGAAGAUGCAAGAGACUGGCGCCACGGGUCUGGAUCCGAAAAACUUCACCUUGCGGGUUCCGAAGCCCCACAAAUGAGGACAAAAUCCAUUUUGGAUAUCAAGAAUACUCCACCUGACAGUUCAUUAAUAGCAACCACAGCUAGGAAGAGAGGUCCUUUAAAGAGCACUGACGAGAGAACUAAUCCAGCAAUGUAUGGGAAAGUGGACCAGAAGAAGAUGGUGGACUGGAAAGUUGAAAUUUCAGUUCCUAAUAGGAUUUCCUCAACUGCAGCUGGGGAAAAUGAUCUUAAGAUGAAAAAUGCUAAAGUUCCAGAAAAAAGGUUUGCAAAGCCAGAAACAAAACGAUCCCUUUUUAGUAAGAACUCGGAUGACAAGAAACUUAAAUUUGGUGGUUUCAAGUCUGGGUCUCGUGUGGCUCCUUGUCAUGAGGAGAGCCCUCAUUCUACUGUUGUAGCUAGCAGUGGGACUGAAAAUCACCAUAGUAACCACAACGAGUGUGAGGAUUUGUCUUUGAUUCGAUACCAGCUUGUUCAGAUUGAAAGACAGCAAUCUAGCCUGCUAGAUCUUCUGCAGAGUUUUAUUGGGAGCUCGCAAAAUGGGAUGCAUUCCCUUGAGACACGUGUGCGUGGCCUAGAGUUGGCGCUGGAUGAGAUAUCAUAUGAUUUGGCUGUAUCUAGUGGAAGGAUGACCAACACAGAUUCCAACAGAACCACAUGUUGUUUACUACCUGGUGCUGACUUCUUGAGCUCCAAGUUUUGGAAGAAAACAGAAGGCCGGUAUUCAAACUCAAGGAUUUAUUCAUCCAGGGGUACUCCAUUAUCGGCUGUUAUGCGCCAUAGAGCUGAUAGGAAUGACCAUUCUGAAACAAUCAAUUUGGGGAACCAAAGGUUACGGCUUCAGGGUGGUGGUGGCUUGAUUGUGAAUCCCCUGGCAGAGAUUCAUGGUGGCUCACGGGUGAACUCAGAGGUGACACAACAAUAGCCAAGGAUCAGCAGAUUUGUGGGUUCACUGCAUAACUGGGACGGUCCAAUUUCUGUGGAAUCUUCAUUUUAGAAGAAACCAGUAAAUGAAGAAGGGAAAGUUAAAGACUAUCAGUUAGGAGUCCCAGUAAAGCAGCCAAUUCUAUCAUAGCCUUUUGCAGUAACAGGGUGAAAGAAGACAAUUCAUGCCAUAAUUCUUCAUUUUUGUGUAACAUUCUUUUUCUUCCUGUUUCGAGCAUUGCGAAUGCCAACAUAAUGGUGAGAGACAGAGAGAGACAUUCUGAGGAUUGGGUGAACAAGCCACCACCAUAUAUCCCCAGCCUGGAAUGUCAGCUCUAGAAAUACUCAAAAAGACCAGCUGGUUAAUUGCACAGUGUUGUAGAAGGACCAUACCGCUCGAAUUUAACGUUCUCUGGGGUAAAUAAGUAUUUACCUAUACGCAGCGGCAGGCUGAAAUGCAAAAUCUUCCACUGAAGAAGAUUUAACAGUACAGCCCUCAUCUUAUAUGAUACUAGAAUAUUACCCGUGCUAUGUCACUUCCAAAAAUAGAACUUGUUUUUUUUUUUAAAAAAAAGAAAUUAACUAUGAAUUCAAAAUUUACUGUACAUUAGAUCAUAUAUUUUUUAAAUAUUGCUUGAUGGAACCAUUAUUUUUUUUAUUAUUAA